GACGAACGCUGGCGGCGUGCUUAACACAUGCAAGUCGAACGGAAAGGCCCUGCUUUUGUGGGGUGCUCGAGUGGCGAACGGGUGAGUAACACGUGAGUAACCUGCCCUUGACUUUGGGAUAACUUCAGGAAACUGGGGCUAAUACCGGAUAGGAGCUCCUGCUGCAUGGUGGUGGUUGGAAAGUUUCGGCGGUUGGGGAUGGACUCGCGGCUUAUCAGCUUGUUGGUGGGGUAGUGGCUUACCAAGGCUUUGACGGGUAGCCGGCCUGAGAGGGUGACCGGCCACAUUGGGACUGAGAUACGGCCCAGACUCCUACGGGAGGCAGCGGUGGGGAAUAUUGCACAAUGGGCGGAAGCCUGAUGCAGCAACGCCGCGUGCGGGAUGACGGCCUUCGGGUUGUAAACCGCUUUCGCCUGUGACGAAGCGUGAGUGACGGUAAUGGGUAAAGAAGCACCGGCUAACUACGUG
This 468-nucleotide ribosomal RNA is filed under the name uncultured bacterium. RNAcentral's name for it is "partial 16S ribosomal RNA". It matches the Rfam family "Bacterial small subunit ribosomal RNA", at positions 28 to 507 of the family's 1533-position model. The record is from RNAcentral.